CCUACGGGAGGCAGCAGUGGGGAAUAUUGCACAAUGGGCGCAAGCCUGAUGCAGCCAUGCCGCGUGUGUGAAGAAGGCCUUCGGGUUGUAAAGCACUUUCAGCGAGGAGGAAGGUGGUGAACUUAAUACGUUCAUCAAUUGACGUUACUCGCAGAAGAAGCACCGGCUAACUCCGUGCCAGCAGCCGCGGUAAUACGGAGGGUGCAAGCGUUAAUCGGAAUUACUGGGCGUAAAGCGCACGCAGGCGGUUUGUUAAGUCAGAUGUGAAAUCCCCGGGCUCAACCUGGGAACUGCAUUUGAAACUGGCAAGCUAGAGUCUCGUAGAGGGGGGUAGAAUUCCAGGUGUAGCGGUGAAAUGCGUAGAGAUCUGGAGGAAUACCGGUGGCGAAGGCGGCCCCCUGGACGAAGACUGACGCUCAGGUGCGAAAGCGUGGGGAGC
RNAcentral lists this ribosomal RNA (439 nucleotides) under uncultured Serratia sp. Its description in RNAcentral is "bacterial SSU rRNA". It matches the Rfam family "Bacterial small subunit ribosomal RNA", at positions 338 to 769 of the family's 1533-position model. The record is from RNAcentral. Lineage: Bacteria; Pseudomonadati; Pseudomonadota; Gammaproteobacteria; Enterobacterales; Yersiniaceae.